Molecule: long non-coding RNA, 2651 nt
Organism: Scylla paramamosain (green mud crab)
Lineage: Eukaryota; Metazoa; Arthropoda; Malacostraca; Decapoda; Portunidae
Exons: 3
Source: RefSeq, a predicted model, not a curated record
CUGGUUCCUAAAGAAUCUAGCAACAAAUCAGACCGAAAAGCAUAUACUUCAAGCUUCAUUUUCACAGGAAGAAAGAAAAAAAAAAGUUUAUUUACGUAUUCAGGAAGAUGAGUAAUUUUCAUCUUUCAUACGGGUGGGACAUUCUACAUUGAUUUAGUGCAAUGACCCACGACACGCACGCGACGAGGCUAUUCGGUGGCUUUCAGGUGAUACUAGACAGCGAGGGCGAGGCUAAGGAGGGUGGCGGCCGCGACGCACCAUCAGGUAGUACAAUAAGGUCUUGCGGGAAAAGACAAAUACCACGGUUUUUUUUGUUCAAGUGUGGGAGCAGAUAAUAGCAGAAAAGAAUGCGUUCAUUCUUAAUCACGACCAAGUCGAAAGUGGAAAUUUUACGGUUUUGUGGUACACGUGGGAAAAAAUGUUUCGCCGGUGAGAAAGGUGUGCAGUGAAAAUAUAUAAAUGAAUAGAUUAAUAAACGAAUAAAUACGUAUGUGGAGGUAAUACUUAAAUGUUAUAAAAUUGGAGAAUAUAUAAUAUGUUUCAAUCAAUGCAUUUUAUUGUUAAAUCAUUCUUGAAGAACAAUUUAUUCUAUGCUCGAUAUUUUAAUUUAAUUUUUAACACUGCAUAAAUGUUAGUGUUUUAGUAUGACUCAUGAUAUACCUCAUCUUGUUAUACGUUAUGGUGCCGUUAGUGGUGACGUACGCGCAAGACCUUGCGUCACUACUUGGUCUUGUGGUCAAAAAAAUAUCUCGCAUGACAACUCCCUCCAGAUACUAUUUAAGGCAGCGAAAAAGAGAACAUGUUUGUCAGUAAUUGUCCACUGUUUAAUUUUUUUUUUCUUCUAUUAAGUUCAGGUGUCCGAACGAAACGAUGGCAAAUAAUCAAAGUGAGAUAAUAUAAUCAAUAAUUUUACUACAAUACAAAUAUUUAUAUGGUCUGUAUCACAGAAGCUCAGUAUCAUUGCAGUGUUGUGAAUGUGGUCACACACUAGAGAUAUAUAACGGAUUAGUACUAAAUUCUGCUAAUGCGGAGCUGAAGCAAGAUAUGCAUUUCUUGUAAAAUGCGGUUGCGGAUAAGAUUGGAGAUGCUCAAAUAUCAACACUUGUGAAUGCGGAUGCAGUUGUGGAUUUCUUUUAACUCCAUAGACGCGGUUGCGGCUGCAGAUGUAGAUAAUUUCUGCACAUUACAGUAAUACAAAGUUCGUCGUAUCUAUGACAGAAAACUCCAGAAAGGAGAGAAAGAGACAGAAAAAAAAAAACGCAAACGAAGAACAAAUGGAGAUAUAAUAAAAUAGGUAAAAAAUGUAUAAUGUAUUUCAAGAAUAUAGAAGUAACCAGGAAAGCGGUGUGCAAGGGGAAACGAGACAGAGGGAGUAAAAGUGGGAAGGGGAUGGAUGAUGGAAGACAAAAAGGAGUAGGAGACAGGAAAAGGGGAGAACUUCUUUUCCAUUACUUACUCUCUUCCUCUAAUUCUUCACUCACUCCUCACCCUUCCUGCUAAUAUUUAUUUUCUCUACCUGCUCCAUUUACUAGCUCGCAUCCUCCUCCUUCACGCUUCCUUCAUUUUCUUGUCCCAAGUACCUCCUUCCCAGGUUAAGAACUCCCUUCCUCCCGCUGCUUCACAAUGCGUGAUAACUUGCUCCCUCCCUCUUACUCAUUCCAUAGUAUUUACUCUCCAUCCUUCUCUCUCUCUCUCUCUCUCUCUCUCUCUCUCUCUCUCAUACCUUUUCAGUAUCCUUCACACUGUCUCCCUUACUCAUACACACAGACGGGCCUUUUGCUAUCUGAAAAUGCGUUUGCGGACAUUGAUGCGAAUCUUUUGUUGUUUUUAAAACACAGAUGCAGAUAUUAUUGUGGAUAGCAUUUUUACUGCAAAUGCUAAGCGGAUGUGGAUGCGGAGGUGGAUAAGCGAUACAUCACUAUCACAUACGAAAUUCAAACGUAUUUAUAACUAUUAUAAAUUAAAGUUAAGUACCUAAAAAACUAACAAUACUGAUAGACAGCACGUGAACGGGGGCUGUGGCUCAGAAAAGUGCAGCAAAGCUUCAAAUGAUGAGUGGAUCACGUGAUUCUGUUCCAAAUACGUACAUAAAACUUAUUAGCAAAGAAUGUAUUAGUGAAACCACCUUCGAUAGGAAGGCAAUAACUUUCCAUGCUCGGCUAAAUAUAACAGUUUUCUAAGGAAGCGUAAUCAUCGAGAAACGAAAAAAAAAAAAAAAGAAAAUCGAAAGCAAGAGAUAAGUGACGCAGAAAAUGGCAGCGACGUGGCUUUUCCUGGCAGCGACUUUGGUAGUGUAUCAUUGCCGCGCCCAGCUGAAUGGCAAAGCAUUUCUAAAGGUUCCUGGCGCAAGACUCGACGAAGUUACUGUCCUCAGCGAAGCUGAGAUAGGUAGCAUGUUGACGUGCGCUUCGCUAUGUCUCGCUGGUGACUGCAACGCCUACACCAUAAACAAUUCAGUGACCACAGAGCCUCGCUGCAUGCUGGCGACUUACUCCCUCACUCCCGUUUUGAUUAAUGACGACAGUUACGACCUAUACAUCGAGACUAGCGUUCUCCUGCCACUGAAAACGAACUUAAAUGGAUAUUUUGGGGAUUGGCAGCCACCGACCAUGUGUCCAGAGGGGCAUUACGUCUACGGUUAUGGACUCUUG